This is a non-coding RNA of Arachis ipaensis, 385 nucleotides long. The record is from RefSeq and is a predicted model, not a curated record. NCBI's taxonomy places the organism in Eukaryota, Viridiplantae, Streptophyta, Magnoliopsida, Fabales, Fabaceae.
CUAUUAUGUUUAGAAUACUGGACGUAAACUUGGGAAGUGAUGAUCCUUCCUCUCAAGGACACACAGAACAAAGUAGCGUAAACAAACCGGCAGAGAGCGUGUUGAGUCUGUUUGAAUAGUCAGCCAGUGAGCCGGCUGAAGAGAAUGUGAUGGUUAUGAGAGAAGAUACACCGUCUGAAGUGCUUGCGAUAGUUCCGAUUCAAGUGUGUCUACCACUGUCCCAAACAACCACUACACCUGAGACAGAAAAUGAAGCAACCCCUCUGCUACAAAUUGAAGGAACUACAAAAAGGUAAGAUAUAGUGUUGGGUGUAUAUUUUGUUACAGUUUGGGUGUAUAUUGCUCGUGUUGGGGUGUAUAUUUUGAUGAUUGAUCCAGGACUAGU